Molecule: ribosomal RNA, 484 nt
Filed under: uncultured bacterium
Lineage: Bacteria
Description: partial 16S ribosomal RNA
Rfam family: Bacterial small subunit ribosomal RNA
Source: RNAcentral
AUUGAACGCUGGCGGAAUGCUUUACACAUGCAAGUCGAGCGGCAGCACGGGGGCAACCCUGGUGGCGAGCGGCGAACGGGUGAGUAAUACAUCGGAACAUGCCCAGUCGUGGGGGAUAACACUUCGAAAGAAGUGCUAAUACCGCAUACGUCCUGAGGGAGAAAGCGGGGGAUCGCAAGACCUCGCGCGAUUGGAGUGGCCGAUGUCAGAUUAGCUAGUUGGUGGGGUAAAGGCCUACCAAGGCAACGAUCUGUAGCUGGUCUGAGAGGAUGAUCAGCCACACUGGGACUGAGACACGGCCCAGACUCCUACGGGAGGCAGCAGUGGGGAAUUUUGGACAAUGGGGGCAACCCUGAUCCAGCCAUUCCGCGUGAGUGAAGAAGGCCUUCGGGUUGUAAAGCUCAUUCGGCAGGAACGAAACGGCGAGCUCUAACAUAGCUUGCUAAUGACGGUACCUGAAGAAGAAGCACCGGCUAACUACGUG